AUUGGUUGGCCUUUCAAGAAAUAGCUGCUAACUGGUUGCAAACAUACUGAAGCAGCCCUAAGCGAUUUUAUUUGGCAGGAUCUUAUUCCUCAUAGAACUGCACAUCAAUGCCUCUUUCUCGAUUUCUGUAGCAUGCUUUGUUAUUCAGUGAUGCACAGUGCACACAUUAUGUUGAUACUGCACAACAUGCUUUCGUGCUUAAAACUGAAUAACUGAACCCGUUCUGUGGCGUUUUCGUCCAUUUUGAUAUUUGCUUGCCUUUUCCAAAAUGUCACUGAACAGGAAAGAUUUUUUAUUUUUUUACAUUGUCAAUGUAAACAAAUCUGCUUUUGAGUCUAAUCUAAUUCUUGUCAAUAUUUCAAAUACUACAAACAUAAACAGCACCAUCCGGAUACUGAGACAAAAUAGUGAGUAUGUUCAAAACAACAUCAUAAAAUACCAGGUUUUAUUUUCUGACCUUAAAUGCCUUGCAUAUCUAUUAAAGAACCUGGCAUAUCUAUAAAUGUAGAAUCCUAUGUCUUGUGUGUCUAACAGACAAUUCCAUAACAAUAAACUAAGUGAAGAUGAAUGAACCUCACUUCUAAAAGAGGAUUACAGCUAUCUGUGCUCGCUCAAAGCUGUGAGUAGAAAUCAUCUUUAUCGCCCAGACAGCUUAACUGGGGCUUCCUUCCCCCUGCAUUUUUCACCCACUGUCCUUUAAGUCUGAUAUACUGAGUACAGUGGGGGCUCAAUCUCAUUUUUAGAUAGAUCUGUAUUCAUGUAAGCCCCAGGAUUUGUGCUGAAGGAACUAUUGUCUUUCUGUUCGAUUGCUCAAUUCCAGCAAUCAAAAAGCAUGUCUGUUUAAGAGAUAAAUAUCCAGCCAUCAGCAUUCAAAAAGUGUUCCUCAAGUCAUUUGUCAAAAUGGGCAUAAAUGAGCAAAAAUUGCCUAGAAUUCAAUUUUAAGGGGUUUUCCGUUUUACAUGCAAUUUUUGUUCAUUUUGCCAGCAUUAUUAUUUUGAAUUAUUUCAAUUAUUAUAAUAUUAGAAUGUAGGGUUACACACAAUUCAGAAUUUAAUCAUUUGCUUCUUUGUUAGUUGCAAUUUGAAUGUAACUGUCCACGUGAAGUUGAAAUGGAAUUUGAACUGGAAUGAAAGAAAGGAGAAUUUACUGAAUUAUAAAUAAACAAACAAAUAAUGUUUUUCUAAGUAGGUGUUUAAAGGUAGCUAUACACGUAUUUUUCGGUUCGCCAUAUGUAGUUUUGCUAAAUCACUGCAUGUGCGGAAUUUCAGACUGAUUUCUGAUUUUAAACUAAGCCUACCGUUUAUAUCGAUACAUUUUAAUAUUGUGAACACAGAGGACUCAAAGUGAGCUGCUGCAGCCUGGAUCAGUGCACGAUCCACGGCUCAUCCUGACGGCGUAUCAACGUUUCGCAAACUUCAAUGAAGGUGCGUCGGCGCGCGCAUGCGCGUCACAACGGAGCUCAUUGCAAUACGACCACGAUGAAUGUAAAGGGAUCCUCCGGAUUGCUCUUCACAUCCUCAUGGCUGCUCUUCGCCUCCUCUUUCCUGGCACUGCAAGGUGAGUUGCUCUUGGGAAGCUCCUCGCUGGCUUGGAGGUGCUGGAUGAUGUUUUGCUGG
Onychostoma macrolepis is the source of this 1616-nucleotide long non-coding RNA. RefSeq lists it as uncharacterized. The record is from RefSeq and is a predicted model, not a curated record. Lineage: Eukaryota; Metazoa; Chordata; Actinopteri; Cypriniformes; Cyprinidae. The transcript is spliced from 3 exons.